RNAcentral lists this long non-coding RNA (17301 nucleotides) under Xyrichtys novacula (pearly razorfish). The record is from RNAcentral. Lineage: Eukaryota; Metazoa; Chordata; Actinopteri; Labriformes; Labridae.
CGUGGGACCAGGAAGUGCCCUGGUUUGGCUUGGGAAGAUGGCAGCAGGUAAGUCUCUGUGUGUUUGUGUGUUUGCAUGGCAUGUAGCCGCAGAGUGUGCACUCUCGAACGAUUACAGCGGGGAGAAAAGAGUCAAAAGAGACAGUUUGUUGAAGUGCAGGACCGCGGGGAACGAAUGCGCUCCGUGCGCACUCCCGGCACCGGAGAGAGACUCGCGCGCCGGUCAAAGAAUGACAGAGCGUUUAAUGGCGCCCCAUCACAAUUGAGAAAGGGGGUUUGUGCUGAAUAAAUAAGACUGCCCGACAGCCGCGUUGAACCAAUUUGUAGAAAGUAGUGGACAUGUUGAGACAGAGGCAUUGCUUUCCCUCUCCGCUCUCAGUGGAUAUAGAGAUUCAUGUUAUAUAAAUAUGAAUGGCAUCCACAUUGAAUCAGGCCUCUCAAGUUUUGAACUAAGCUUAGAGUGAGAUUUUCUUUUUUGUUGCAGAUAAUAUAUCUGCUAAUAAAUACAACAGACUUUGACUUUGAUAUUACUACGAGACUAAAGCCAUUGUACAUGAGAAUAAAGUCAUUAUUUAUGAGAAUAAAGGUAUUAUUUUAUGUAAAGUUACCUGUUGUGGAGGAGAGUUGUUCAAAUGAGGGCUUUGGAGCAUUUAGAUGAAUUUUACUUUAGUAUAGGUUUCACAAACAUGGAUAUACUUGAUCCUUUGGUACAUCAGCAUAACAUUGUCAUGAGUAUCAGAACUUUAAAAAGUAUGUAUGAGAACAGCAUCUUUUCCAGAGAAAAAAACACAAAACAAAACAGGUGGACUUUGAGGGAAUCAUUGCUUUUGUGGAGGGGAAAAUGGCUGGAAAUGGCUGCACAGAGGCUAAAUCUGUCAAUGCAGCUGUUAAUAGCAAUAGCAUGGGGCUUUAGUUUAUCAUAUUAGUUUAUAUGCCAUGAGGUGUUGAGGCAGGUGUAGGUCACUGACUUACUGUAACCAUCAGGUCUUUUUCGUCCUUAUGAAACCUGCUUUAUCUCAGUGAGUGUCCGUUUUCUUUUGUAAGCAAACCAUGGGAUAUCAAAAUCCACAGGGACACAGCAAUGCCACUUUUUGAUUGGUUGUUAUGUAGAUAUACUUUAUUUGAUUGGCUUGUGCGUGGCACGCAGCUUUUGAACUCUCUUGGGAACUCACUUGAUUCCUACCUGUUCUGUUGUUUAAGAGGUGCAACUUGGUGGGUGUCACCAUGGUAAUUUAAAUGCGUGAGAGAUACAAUGUGUGGCGUGUGGGUGUGUGAACGGGUGGGAAUGCGUAUGUCACGCUGAAUGCAUGAGACUUGAGAGCCCUGUUGAAUCAUUUGACUCAUUAAGCAAAGAACAUCAGGAACAUGUACUAUUUAUACCAUGCAACAUCACUUCAUAGCACAUUUGGAACCCUCCUCCCUAAUAUAAUCUUAAUAUGUUUUUUUUUUAUAUGUUUUGGCACAUUUCAAUUACCCCUCUCGCAAAUCACACAACCGCAGUCAUGUCCCCUGAAAAACAAUCUUUGGACCUUCAAUUGCACACGACCUUUGACACACCCGACAAAAGGAGAAAAAAAAUACCUCAAAUCAUGUCGGAUACUGUUUCACAUCCUUUUGCUGGAGCUGUUCUUUUGAUCUGGAAAGUACAGCAAAAUGGUGCAAACUCUGCAGAGUAAAAAUGUUCACCCUUGGGUGAGGGUUGAACCUAGACAAAACUUGAGAAAAUGUUUAUUUAUUUUUAUUUUGCUGGUUGUUUAAUUCAUCAGGCAACAAACAGCUGUUACAGAUCCAAAGUUUAGCAAGUACAUGCAAAUAAAUCCUAAACUACCUUUUCUUGAUGCUCCCUCACAGUUGCAUAAGCUAGAGGUCAUGGCUCGAACCACUGUUUUCAUUAAACCAAAUGUUAUUCAGAAAUUAUGCUUUCGUAUUGCUGAAGCUGUGUUUGAGGAGGAGGCGCUUUGGCAGCUGGGUUGAUUGUCAUUCACUCUGUUUCCCAGAGGUUAGAAUUAAACAUGUGAAGGGAUCACCAGGCAGCUGAUAAUUUACAGGCAAAUUAAUUACAUUUGCCUACAAGGUAUUAGGAAGGAUAGACCUUUCAAUAUGGUAAACAGCUGGUGGGCGGCGCAUCUUUGCAUUUACUUUCAAAGGUACAGGGUUAAAUCAUGAAAGAUCCAAUUAACCUGUGCUGCCACAGGUCUAAGUUAGAAAAACAAAUUAGAGUCAGGAACACAGUGUCAUUUAGAAACCGCUGUGAAAAUAUGCAACUUAAAAACACGCUGUGCUCUGAGUUUAUGCAGCAGUUACAGGCUUUGAGACUAUAACUCAUUAAAUAACUCCAGUAAUAAAAUUCUUUGAGUUGAAAACAGCAUUAAAUUUUAAUUCUCUCCCUUUCUGUUAUUGGCAGCACUCAGUGACUCAGAGGGGAUAAACAUAACAGUGGAUCUAUGAUAAAAGAGUGUUAAAGCAGCAAUCAUUUUGAGCUUAUGAUGAUAAAAUUUAACGCAGGAAUGAAGAAAAAUACGGUCGAACUCAGAUCAAUGCACAGGCCUGCAGACUGUGUCCUUUACUGAAGUCUAGCUCGUGUUUUGCAGGCCGUUUUCUCUGCUUUCAGACGCGCACCUUUAGUGCAUAUUUUAUGGAUGUGCUCAACAGAUCUGCACUCAGUCCCGAGAGCCUGCAGCUUCUGUUACCCCUGAGGUUGCCACGGGGACAGAUGUUCAUGAAAUCUUAGCAGGUGUUAGUACUCCCCUCUGAGAAACUCUUUUUUUUCGAUGGAUCAUCCAUAGCUCUGAUUUCUCUCACUUAAUACACCUGCUUUGUCUCACUCGACUCCUGAACCUUCACAGCAGCGUCAGCAGACAGAUAUUGUUUUAUCGGUCUUCACACGGCACAGAUCCAUAAGGAAAAACUCCCGUCUAUCUGAGCUGAAUAUGAGUUUUGAAACAUUUCAGAUAAAUGUCCAAGGGUUUUAAUGCCAGUAGCCAAUAAAUAAUGAAGCAUAAUUCCCUUAAAGAUUUAUUACCACAAACACAAUUAAUCAAUUUACCUGUAUACAUAAUGAGUUUACAGUAAAGAGGAGCAGGAAGAGACAGUUCCUCAAAUAAACCCUGAGGCACUUUUCAUACGUGUUGCAUCUGUACUGUUUUAUAGAUUUUGUAGUUUCGGCUUUUAAAACCAAAUUUUAAGCUGAGUUUCUGACUUCAUCGGCACGAAUAUAUUUACAUUUGAAAACAUUUUUAUUGACCUUUACUUUCAUUUGUAUUCUUGCAGAUAUUCACACUGUUUUGGAAAGUGAUAAUGUCUCAUAUUAGCACAACACAAAAGCAGAUUUUAGCAAUUGUUUGAUUUAAUGUUCCACCUACAGUUUGGGUUAAAAGCAGAAAGCUAUGCAAAACUUUUUAAAAUCAUCCUGUGAGGAACUUUCAGCCCGUGUCGAUUUUGGUGACAAGAAGACACUAGGGCUGCCCGAUUGAUCUGUUUGAAUCGUCAUCGGAUUAUUUGAUUAUGACGAUGUUAAAAAAAUUUAAAUCGUCAAAUCGAUUUUUCUCUGGUUAGUGUCUCGUGCCUCCAGGUCACUGUGGGCUCCCCCUUCCUGCAGGAGCGCUCCCCAGUUCCCACUCACAGCAGUGUAAACAAACAUGGCUUUUGCAAAAGAAGACGAUAAUUUCGUGGCUAAAUAGGGCGAGAGCAAGUCAGUCGUGUGGAAUUGGUACGAUUUCGCAGUUUUUGGAUGAAGAGCAAACCACUCCCCGCUGCAAUGUCUGUCUGAAGGCAGUAUCAACCCGUCCACAAAGAAGUGUCUUCAGGAGUAAACGCAAAAGCUUUUUGUCUUAUUGCGUUUCAUCCACACAGAAAUGGCGUUUCAGGUGACUGUAAAUGGCACUUUUUGAAAACAGGUCAUAAAUCCGUAAAUGACUAUUAUUUCAUCUCUGUGUGGAUGCCUACAUCGUCUCUCGAAAUGAUUAUGUGACUCAUAGGUUAACUAUUUUGUGGCGCAUGUCCAGCCUAAACAACCUUUAUACGCAUUCUCUGUACUCUUCUUCUGUCUUUUGUGCAUUUCCUCUGCAGCGUUACAGUGCCAUUUACUGGCUUGGCAUAUGCACUUCAUCGUUUUCAGUGGUUUCUUUUUGAGAGAUGAUAGAAAAACGUAAUAUUAAAGUGAAGUUUGGAAAGUUGUCACUGAAUAAAAUUGAAAUUGAAAUUUAAUUGAGUUUUCAGAGAAAAAAAUCUGGAUUUUAUUUCUGGCCGAAAUUGUGCAGCCCGAGAAGACACUAUGUCAUGCAUGAGUGGUGUAUAAAUCCUUCCUAAGACAUACCAUAAGUAGUAUUCACCUAACAAUGUCAUAUAUAGUGUCUCAUUCUUAGAUACUACAAGCAAAAACAAGCCUUAAACUGAUUGUAAUGAGUAAAAAUAGUCACCAGUGCAAAAGGUAAAACUGGAUCAAGUUUCUCAAAACUGCAGAAAACAUCACAUUCAGGCAAUUUUUGUCUUCAAAUCUUGCAGAGAGAUUUUGUGUUUGAACUUAAUAGAUCGAUGUAGCAAUACACAGUUCUUACGGGCAUGGCCUCCUUUUUGUUUGUUUUGUUUUGUUUGUUUUGCAAAGUCUCUGUUGUUAAAAAAAUGACCUUAUUCUGAGUCACUUUCAUUUCACCAGUUGUGUCGUUGUUGUCCUUCUUCCUGCAAGUGUCCCUCCCUUUUCUGUGCCAUGCAGGAGAAGACAGAAACGGUCAGGGUUAGAUUAGACAAAAUUUGAUUUGUUACACAAGGAGAGGAACGUUUUACUAAUGCUUAUUGUAAAUUCAGUGCCCAAGAAGUGUUUCUAAACGUUACGACAGGGGCAUGUUGACCAUUGUGUUGCAUCAGUCCUUCUUUAACAACAUUCUGUAAAUGUUUGGGAACUAAGACUUAUGUCUGGAGUUUUAAAAGUGAAGCGUCUUCUUGCGUUCUUUGGUAUUUCAGCUGCUGCAGUCCUCGGUCUCUCUUGUCAUAUUUGCUUUGUUGAAAAAUUGCUGAAACUUGCAGUCUUCCUGCAAAAGGCAUUGUUUCGGUGGCAACAUAUUUUGCUUUACAACCUGUAUGUCCUGUUCAACAUUAUUGGAGCCUCUUAGGAUGUUAUGAACAUAGUCUAUCCCUGUGCCUUUACAGGUUAGCUUUUGAGCUGCUGUGCUAAUAUCGAGCUGGUUGUCCUUUCUUGUCCGUGAUUUCCAAGAAAAAUGUCAAAUUUUGAUUGGUCAGACCUCCGGACAGUUUUCACUUUGCCUCAGUCCACUACAGACCUUUCAGGCCCAAAGAGGUCAUUUAUGUUUCUGUUGCAUAUUUCUAUUGAUUUCUCUAUGCAUGGUGUAGUCACACUGUAUUUGUGGUUGCGGGGUGUGUGGAUUUUGGUAGUGAUUUGAGCAAAUGCAGAGACUUCCACUACAGAGAGCCAUGCCUGUUUUUAAUCUGAUGCCUUUUGUAUUGAGGAUGAAAUUGAAACUUUUCGUGAAGUUAUGUUAGGGCUGGGCGAUAAACCGAAAAUUUACCAAUACCGAAAUUUACGACAAUAACUGACAUCAUUUUGCCCAUGUCAGUAUAUUCAGUGCCCAAAAAAUAAAUAAAUAGAAGUUGGUUUUGGAUGUGUGUAGGUAGGCUAUAGUCUCAUGUCCCUUAAAGACGCUGUCCUACGUCAGAGACAUGACCCCACCCCAUCCAGUCUGUAACAAAGAGGGAAAGUCAGGUGAGGAGAUGAAGGACAGUUUAAAAGUUGUAGCGGCUGGAGCGGCAGCUGAAGUAGACGAAGUAGUUAUUAUCCAUUUAUUGCUAUGAAGGUGAACUGCUCAACAUAUUGUGAUAUUGAUUUGAGGCCAUAUCGCCCAGCCCUAUAUUAUGUACUCUCUUUGUAUUUUUAUGCUGUAGAACAUUGUUCCAAAACUGUAGAACUUUUUCAACCCAGUCAUGUCAGUAACCUGUUGUAAAUUAAGUUGAUGUGCAGGGAAAAGUUCCUCCACUUUUGAGUAAAGUUCAUGUUACUAUGGUUACGUUGCCGUGCAGGACCUCAUAUACAGUUUACAUCCUCUUAUUUUAUACCCAAAUUUGCAUUUUUAAUCCCACAAAAUCCCCCGAAACCAGACUGAACAGCUUCUUGCAUACGCGCCUCAGCAUCAAAACAGUGUUUUCUCUCCUUGUUUCUAUUUCUUAAAUUGUGUUUUGCUCUCUCAUCGCUUCAGUCUAAAAUUACAUGCAGCCAUCUGUUGCAAAUUACUUUCCCAAAAACAAUAUUGUACUGUAGACGAUUCAGAUUGAAAUAACAUAUUUUAAGGCUGGGACUCAUAAUAUUGAUGUAUCUGUGUGUCCGGGGUUAUUUGUAAGUACGAGUGGAGGAAUGCAUGUAAUUCAAAGGGUUUCUCUUAUAUCUCACUUUCAUUAUUUUUUACUGUGGGAGAGGUUUCGGUUUACAAACUUCUAGAUUGAAAACAAUGUAACACAACAGCAGAUCUUACCCUUUCAGAAUGAAAUCUUUCUGUGCAUUUUCUAAGCAGACACAUAAAAAAGCCUUUUCUGUAUCUUUGCUGUAUUUCUCAUGUUAAAUAACUUCAGUGAAAGCUGUGCGUAUCCUUGAGAGAGGACAAAAACUGUUAGCUGCUGUUAGCUCGCAGAGAGGGCAUCAGUACAGCACAAUAAGUGUUUUUGAUGUGAUGUCUUUCUAUAUACUUCCCCAUUUUCUACAUCUUCAAAUCUGCAAAUUAGCUAUGAAUAUGUAUGAGUAACUCUGUGCUUGUGAUUAGUGUGUGAGCGCUGCACUAAAUGGCUAUUGUGUAAGUGUGUUAUCCUCCCUCAGAGUUUAGCAAAGGGCCUAACAUGAGGGGUUUUUUGUUUGCAAGUGUGACACAUAAUUCAGUGAUCAAAAAGGCGUUUUUUUUUUAAUGUAUUUUUCUGAGGGAGACAAAGCAAAAGUAGUGGAAAGAAAGGGCAAAGAGUUACAGAGGAUAUUCACAAAUUGUCUGCUCUGACCGGGUUGUCAGAGAGCUUGGUAGAAAAAGGAGAGGGAGUAGGACGGGGUGGAGUGGAGUUGAGGGGUUUUUUUUGGAUGAAAGUAUUAAGAUCAGAAAAGCAGUUUUGUAAUUGUAUUUUCCUCCAUAUCCAGCAGCUACCACUGCAGGAGGCAUUAAGCUGCACAAAGGAAAGCAGAGGGGAGCGUUUCUUCAAAAAGAUGUUGGGUCAGCGGAGAAUUCUAAUGACUGAACUCCAGAGAGUCUGAAUUUUUUAUUUCUGAGCUUUCUUUUUCAGCAGGAAUCCAUGUUGUACAAAAUAUAACCGUAAACCUUUAUGUGGAAUAAAUCUAGGCUGUGCGAAAACAAACUGCAUCACUUUCUCCUUUACAAACACUCUGUUUUAUUCAGUAAGAUGAAUUUAAACUUUUAACACCCUGAAAUCAAUUUUUCAGAACAUUUCACAAGAAAUGAAUUAUUUCCUGCUCAUGAUUCCUUCAGUUUUGGAUAAGUUUAAUAAUUCCUGCUACUAAAACUCUAUUUGGCAUGUUAAAUAUUUAAUCACUAGCAAUAUGUAGAUUUUGUAAUGAUGAAGAGGGGAGCAGAAACUGUAAUGUUGUUGAAGUUUGUGGGCCAGUACAACCAUAAAUAAAACUUGAAUAAAUCAGCAUUCAUCAAAAAGGUAAUGAUAUUUGAUGACUGGAUACAGAACAAUAAAUAUCCUUGUCUUAUCGAGUAUUUAAAUCUCAAGCAAAGUUAAACUAAAAUUAAGUUGUUUUCAGAUUUUGGAGAAAACAGUAAAGUACUCUAUAAAACUUUCUGACUUUACACAUUUCACUAAUGUAGAGAAUUCUUCUCUCUGUUAAAGCUCCAGGUUUUUUAAUGUCUAUGAAAUAACCGAAAAUUCCCAUGAUGACUUUUUGUGAUAUACAAUAGCAGGGAUUUUCAUAUGGCAAUUUUUAAUGACUGAAACUGGUGCGAGGGUGUAGGUGUCAGCCGAGCAGCUGAAGAAACAGCCCUGUUUUUACAAUUUACUGUACAAAAUAUUGAUAAUAAAUUACUUAUUUGACCAUCAAAAGUCAGCAGAUUAAGAUUUUUUGUGACAGACAUGGUGAGCAAAGACUGUUUGUCUACAGGGGGCGCCAAAUUUAACACAAACUGAAAGUUCCUUACAGGAGCCUAAGUCGGAGUCAAGCCCCAAGUUUCAAGACUCAUGACUUAAUAAUACUUAAGCAUUGAUGGCCGGAACUUGGGCUCAGACUUGAGUAUUGAUUCCACUGGACUGAGAAAAUGGAGACUAGGGGCUCUAUUUUCGUGUCCACUGGUGAGGCGGUGGAGGGUGGCAGACUGCGCACUGGUAUUUUCGUCUGGCGGAGCCCGGCGUACAGCUAGUUUGGUAUUUUCGUGGACUGAGGUGCACAGAGGUCCGCCAAGCUGGGCGUGGUAGGGGGAGGUGUCGACAGGAUCAGCUGAUGCAGUGACAUUUUCAUGCUCGCCGCCGGCGUAUUAAGUGUGCUGAAAGCUCGCUGAUUCAAACCAGGUCAGCUUUCAGCGCGGGCGGAGCGCAGCUGGUCUAGAGGUAUUUUGGUAGACCGGCGGCGUAGUGUGCAUACGUUACUGAUGCCUCACUAGCAGGUUUCCACAGUGUCAGGCACAUUUCAGUGCAAUAAAUAUUCAACAACAAUUAUUAAUCUAAGUCAGCACAUACAUUUAGAUCUAUAUCCAUAUAUUCUGAUCUAUAUCUGAUCUGAUGAGUGCAUUAGCACACGUUUGGACACACAACCUGACUGAAUCAACACAGCUGAAACUGUGUGAAAUUAAAUAUCUAGUAAGUAGACACACACGAUGAAGUGAACAAAAUAUGUAAUUCGUCUCCCGCCUUUUCUUUCUUCCUCUUCCUCUUAUUUCUCGCGCAGCUCGACCUGGACAUGUCUCCUUGUCCUCUCCCCGUCCUGCUGCAGCUGCUGCUGCGGCGGCUGGACAGAUGAUUUGUUUCAGUGAUCAGAUGAGUUAUUUUCUUUAAGCCGACAUACGGAUAUUAUAAUAUUCAGUUUUGUGGGCCAAAUUUAUUUUAUAUACCAACAUCUAUGAAAGAAAGAGCCAGGCCACGGAGCGCGAUGCGUCAUUUACGCACAGAUGGUUCCAAUUUUAAUGCCAUUUUUGGAGUUUAUGUUGUGAUCUGUGCGCUCAACCCACCUUUGUCACGUGAGGUAUGAAUAUAUGCAACUUUAUGUGAGUGUCUUUAUUUGUGGAAAAGGGUGUUUGUCUUACCACUGGGUACAACAUUACACACACCAAAUCCAUCUGUGCUCAUAUGAGAGAGUGUGAAGAACGCCUUCUGCCCUCUGUCGCCAUCGUGUGGCAUUGUUGUCUUCAGCCAUCUCUUGAUCUCUCUGACUACUUCACGAAAAUAGUAAUACGCCUCGCCGGUGGCGGAUUUAAAGGCGAGGAGAGGAGCUUAUGUGAUUGGUGAAUACAGGUCUCGGCUGCGUUAAAUCCACUCCAUGCCUUCUCUCCUCCCUCCCUACGACUUACGCCGCUGGGAGGAGCUGAGUUAGGGAGGGGGGAUACUUACGCCGGGCUGCGCCGCUCACCAAAAUACCAAAUUGUGCUUGGGAACGCCUUGUCGCGCAGCGGACCUGACUUACGCCGCGCAUGCGCCGUAUCGCCGGCGAGGCACGAAAAUAGAGCCCUAGGACUUGGGCCUUGAGAUUGGUUAUUCUUACACUUACUUACAUGUGUAAAAAAACAUGGAAUAGACGAGGAAAGCUCUAGUAUUCUCAAAGAAAUGUCAAUUGUGGCAACUUAAGUGACUUAGCUGUUGAGUCUAAGUUGUCCAACUGAUCUGUAGACGUAUUUACCCACAAUACAUUUCGCUGUAACAUUGACUUCACUAAACUCCACGCACACUAACAGGAUGAGUCUGUUGUUGCUGACUUGAUUGUUGAUAAAUGAUAUGGGUUUUCUACAUCUCCAAGUGGCCCCUUGGAUCCACAAGGGUCACUGCAACAAUGCAAUCUAUGCUCGUUCAGAACCGGCUGCAUCUAUACUUAGCUCUCUCUAUGCUACAUCGGCUGUCCUCUGGGUAAAAUGCAAUACUGGUGCUGCCUAGUCCUGUAGUACCUUUUUUUUCUUUCUUUUUCCAAAUGUAGUCCUAAUAAAAUAAAAUAAAAAAGAAGAAGAAGAAUUUACUACGCUUGCUUUCAAUGCCAUUUCUGCACUUGUGCAUAUCUGCUUUAUUUUUGGUUGCCACCAUGUCUGGUGGAGACAGAAGCAGCAUCUGUUAGAUUCUGUAAUCCAUCCAGAUUUUAGCCCUGAGAGCAGCUGCUGCAGGACUCUCCAUGAGAGGGUCUGCAGGAGAGGAAGGGAAGGAAGAGGAAAAAGAAAGAUAAGGAGGAGAGUAGAUGUAUGCAGAGAAAAAAGAAGAGGAUGUAACAUGAAGGUAGUUUCGUCUUGCGGUUGGUCCUACAGCUUUGGUUUUGCUCAGAAGUGUGGGAAACACUCACACGAUCGAUGUGGUAUAAGUUUGUACUCCUCAAUAUGGCAGAUGCAGAAAAGUCACGGCGAUCCAGCACACUUGUGUCUCUAAACACUAGGAUGUGUGUCUGCCGCCACACCAGCUGUCGUGGUCAUUACAAGGUGGCGGCAGUGCCAACCUCUUGGUCGGCCAGCAGCUGCCUUAGCAAUGUGGAUCUCUGAGAUUAAGGCCGGCUCCAAUCUGCUCUGAUCUGUUCGAGGAAACAGAUGAUGAUGAAGGGACAAACAACCAGAAUCAGAGAUAGCCCCGACUAAUCCAGGCAGCCAUCGCAUCACGCACCACAAGUCAUCACAGGAAAUUGCUGCAAGUGCUGCAAACACCAGCAUGAAGCCAUGAGCAAUGUGUUCCUGGUUAAUUUCACACGUCUUUGAGAGUAAUUUUAGGGGAUAGAAAGCUAUUAUUGCACCUGCUGUCAGAGAGGAAAUGUGUAGGGUAGCCAUUUAUCUGGGAUAAAUUGUUUUUACAAGCCCAGUUGAGUCCCUAUCUGAUCAUGAGGAUGUUUAAGGGCAGAAUUAAUGGCUCCUGUAUUCCAUUUGUGUUUCCCUUUUCAUUGUAUUAGUGUAUUUUCAUCUCUCUCUGUUUCCCAUUGUUUAAUAUCAAACAAAAUCAAGGAAUCAUUAAAUCAUGAUUGAACUCUCUAAAUUUAAUAUCAAAUGCAGGGUGGGUGUGAUGAGACUUGAGCAUGUUGUGUGUUUUUUCUAGACAAAGCUGAAAAUGAAUGUUUUUUGUUUUUUUUGUUUUAACGAGAUAAAACAUUAGAAAGUUCUGUAAUGCUAGGGAAAAACACACAGAGGCACAUCUGUCAGCCAAAUAAGUGCAUUUACAGGUUUAAUAAAGGUGUUUGUUAGGGGUGGGAGAACAAAUCGAUACAGCAUAGUAUUGCGAUAUUUUGUCUUGUGAAAUAGUGUAUCGGCUCAUUUACCAAAUAUCAGGUUUAUUUUCUAAAUUAAUUGUUACCAUGGAAUCAAAUCUAUGAUAAUGGAAAAAUAAAAUCAACUGUUUGUCCAGUGAGGUUGGCAGAGGUGACAUCAGAGAGCAGGAGAAAAAUAGUGCAACAAAUAGAGCAGGACCUGGGGAAAGACAUGAGGAAUGCAAGCAGUGCACAAAGGAGAUGAGAGUGGUCUAGACCGGCUCUUUUUCUUUCGAAAACGUCUUGGGAUGACGACUGUUGUGAAUUGGUGUUAUAUAAAUAAAAUUUGAUUUGAUUUAAAUUUGACCUGAAACACAAGGUUUGUAAGAUGUGUUACAUGAAAAUAAAAUACUGUGUAAUUAAGACAAACAUAAUGGAAAGACAAAUGCGAAAUUAGCUAAACAGGUGAAAAAAUCGUAUAAAUCACGAUAUAUUGUAUUGCAAUACUCACUGUAUUGCAAAAUGUUAAAAAUCGUAUCGUGGCCCAAGUAUCGUGAUAAUAUAUCGUGGGGCCAAUGAUGAUUCCCACAAACAAUGUUUGCCACUCUGUGAAGGACUGUGUGAGAAAAUGGUUCAAAUUUUUCCAUGAUAGUGUUACUCCUAGAAACUUUUACCGGGAUUUCAUCAUCUACAGUAUACAACAUCUUCUGAGAUUCUAAAGAAAUGUCAGUACAAAGGAAACAAGACCCUAAAAUCAACACUAGCAGCUGUGAUCUCUGAGCCCUAAAGUGGCAUAACAUUAAAUACAAGGGAUGUCCUGAUACAAUAUUGAUAUCUGAUAUCGGUCUGAUAUCAGCAAAAAAUGAACAUUGGAUUGUACCGGCCUCCAUCAAAAAUCUCCAAUAUCAGCACUCCGAUACAAGCAGUCCAUUCCAGACUCCACUCCAGCACCAAUAUCUAGCAGCACCCCGAUCCAGCAUGCAGAGUAAGUAGUAAGGAGUAAGAGUGAUGUCGGCUGCCAGGCAGUAUUUUGUUUCAGUCUGAAAAAGACAUUUCAGCUGAGUGAAAAACUUGUCAUGCACAAAUUUGUGCCAAAAUUGGAUCAAUAUCUGUAUUGGUCAAUAUUGAAGGCUACAAUAUCGGUAUCGUAUCAGAAGUCAAAAAGUUGUAUCAGCACACCCCUAUUCAAUACAGGCAUGUCUCUGUAGUGGGAGUCACUGCAUGCGGGCUCAAAACCAGAAACAUCAAAUGAAAUCCCAAAACCACUGUUUGGAAAUAAUGGACACCGAUGGUUUCCCUGAUUCCUUAAAGUAAACAGAGUGUCGGUAAGAGUAGAGGGGGUGAAACACAUGUCUAGGGCAAAUGCUUUUCAUAAAACAGAAACUUUUUCUGCAUUUUCACUUUUUUUUCAUUUAAAUUUGGGGUUUUAAAUAAUUUGCAGACCAUUACAAUCUGUUAACACAGUGUCCCAACUUUUUUGAAAAUCAGCUUAAAGAGAAAAAAAAACUCCACUGUAAUGGUGGUUAUUGAUGUUAAAGUCACUGCGAUCCCCAGUUGACAUCAUUUGACUCUUUGCAUUCAGUCCCAUUUUCACAUUUUUUUUAGUGAAAUGCUUUAUUUGAACCAACAGCUUGGCAGCAUCAGCCACAGCCUGCAUUUUCAUUCAGAAACAAUAUUAACUAUCAGCUGUCUCUCACCUCCUCUGAAAAAAGAAAAGAAAGGAAAAAAAAAAGCACCCGGGCUCUUCUCAUUUAAGUCCCUGGCUGCUGUUUUGUCAGAGAGCGGCACUAUAUCAACUUUCCGAGCAGAGUCAUCACACAGCGUUUCCUGCAUAAUGGCUUUGGCAGCAGGCAGGAUGAGAUCUUCACUUUAACAGUGUGUGGUUUUUGUGUGCGGGGAAUACGAUAUAGCUAAAAAGGACACCUUCAGUCACUCUGGGAAAGUUGUUUUUUGCUUAUAAGCAGUAAAACAAUUCAUCUGACCCCUUAUUUGUCUUUGCGGUAUAGGAGGGUGUAUUAUUUCUUUAUAGUUUAAAGCUUUGUUCUGGAUUUGUGCUUUUUGUUUCUGCAGCUAGGACAGAAUCCUUUGAUAUUUUGAGUAUCUUUGUCCACCAUUUUGCAAAAUAGGAGAUAAAACUCCCCAGAAUCCUGAGCCAGUGCAUGCACAGCUAUAGUCACAUGUGCAUCUGUGUCAUGAGUUCCUGUCUAGCUGUCAGCCUGGUGCACCUGACAUGUCAGAGGAAGCGGAAUAAUUAAUUCUACUUUAUGCAAAUGAGAAAAGAAACAUUUUUAAUUGAAAAUCUGCCCAUAAAGUCAGCGUCUAGAUAGAUAUCGAAUGAGGAAACUUAAUUAUGGAUGCACACAUGCAGGGUCACCUUCACCAAAACUGAUGAAAUAUGAAUUCCCCUCUUUUGGCUGCUAUGUUUGCUCCCACAGAAGGGCAUUAAAGCAGGAUGCAGAGGGGAAUACUAACAAGACGCAGGGGCUGAGAGCACACGCAGGAAACGAGUGCAGAAAUCAAUCAAAACUCAGCAAGACUGAAGCCUGGUCAAUUUUAAAUACUGCUGGAUGCACAGUUGUCCGCUUUGACACCCUUAAUGCAGCAGAUCCCACAACAAAUCAGAAGAGUUUAAUCCUGCUCAGUAGUCUCAACUCGCUCAAUCGCCUCCGCACACACACGAAAAAAAAAAAACACCGAACACAGAUGGCUCGUGGUCAUGAGACACCGUGGAAUCAGCUGUUACUUGUGCAAAGGGUAAAAGUUCAGUCUUGCCUGACACUAAACCCUGCUGGGAUCAAAAUAACAGGAGGACCAGAAGUGGACACAGAGAGGACUAAACAAACACGUCUGACGCUUUAUUUAUAGCCAAUUCACUCGUUCACAGAUUAGGAAGAUUAUUGAACAAACUCUACGGUGUAAUAAAAACAUCUAAUAUGAAUAAGAUCUUCAUAUUAAAUCAUGUGGAGUAAGUUCAGAGUAAAGAGGUUUUCAUUGAUGUGAAUAUUUAGGGAUAAAAAAUGUAUGAAUGAGAAAUCCCCACUGGGCACAUGGAGAGUCUGAUAUUUACCUGGAUGGGGAGCAGAGCUGAGGGGGGUAAUCUAACAAAUAUUGAUCCUGAGAUGAUCUGAAGCUAAUAGAGGAGCUCUGUUAAUAAAGCAGAGGGUGAGCAGGGAGCCAGUCAGCCUGAUGAGGAGAUAAAAGGCUCUUCACUUUAGUCAAACACCAGUUUUUCAUGAAAUUAUUAUGACCUCAUACAUUUUCUUUUUUCUUCUUUUUAUUGUUUUUUUUUUUUUCUGGAUUUAUCCCAGAUUUUGUCUUUCUUUCUUUUUCAUUUGUUUAACUUUUUUGUUCUCUCCUUUCUUUUUUCUUUCUUUCCUUUCUUCGUCAUUUCUUGUCUUUCUGUUUAACUUUCUCUUUCCUUCUGUCCUUCCCUUUUCCUGUCUUUCUUUCAUGCUUUUAUUUUCCUUGUCUUUUUUAUUUUUUUCAUCACUUUUUCUUGUCUAACUUUUCACACCUUUUUGUUUUUUUCCUUUCUUCCUCCCUGUUUUUCCUCCUUUUUUCCUUCUCCCUCACUCUUUCUAUGUCAUGCUUUCCUCCUAUUUUUUAUUUUUUGGUCUUUUCCUCUCCUUUUCCCUUCCCUUUGUUCUGUCAUUCCUUACUAAUUUCUGUCUUUGUUCUUUUUUAAAACUUCUUUUUCUUUCUUUUUUAAGUCCCUUCUUCUUUUCUUCUUUUUAUUUUUUUUCUCUGUCUUUCAUCUGUUUCUGUAACUUUUUCUUUAAUUUUUCUUUCCUUCCUUUUUCCUCUUUUGUUUCUCUUUCCAUUUUCUCAUCUUUGAGUCUUUUUUCUUUUUUUAUUCUUUCUUUUAUUUAUUCUUUGUCUUUGCCUUUUUCUUAAUUUUUAUUUAAUUUUCUUUUUUGUUUUGUAUUUUUACUUGUCCUUCUCUGUUUCUUUUAUCUGCUCUCUAUCUUCAUGUUUUUUUUGUUCUUUUGUCUAUUUUAUUUCUGCUGUUCUGCAUUAAAUGAUUGUCUCUUCCUUUUUACAUCUCUGUCUUUAUCUGUGUUUUCUUAUACGAUCUUUUAUCUCUACUUUUUAGUCUGUAGAAUAUCUUGUCAAUUUUGUAUCAGGUCAUGUGCAAAAUCUCCUCUUUCUAAAUAUUUUUGGAUUGUUUUUUAUGCUGAAUCUUUUUUCUUUCUUGUAGAUUCUUUGAAAUCUUUUAUGAAUUCCUAAAACUAAGAUGUAAUUUUGACAAUCCAGCAUUUGCAGUCAGUGUCACAUCGCAAAAAGAUCUAGUUCAGUGUUUCAUGAUGAUGAUAGCACACCCAGGUUAUUCAAAGACUCACACUAAACCACAUUGAUCCAGGAUCAAUAGGCGGCCUGAUCAAACACAGCAGAGAUCAUGCUUUGAUCAUGCAUUACUGACUCCUGGUGGUUAGUGGAUACCUGUGGUUGGGGAGUUACAGUUAAUAUGAAUACGAAACCAUCAAUAAAACCUGACAACCACUUUUAAACAGACAACAGCGCUUUUAUGAGCGAGACGAGAUUUUCUAUGUAUAUUCCUGACAGGCUGAGCAGCUCGGUGUGUUUUUGCCGAGAGACAUUUAUUACAAUAAUCUGAACACAAAUUGAUAAAAAGCCCAAAUGGCCUUCUGGAGAGUAAGGUCAGGAGUGAAGUGUACGUUUUCUGAGAUGCUCCUCAGAAAGUCGAUAAAAACAUUAUUGAACUAUUUUUGUGACUUGUUUUUCAACUGAAAGGUCACCGUCGAAUAUUACACCUCACUUUCUGUCAGCAGGAUUGACAUUUGUAGACAUGGAGCCAUGAGGUUUUUGUUAUUUGGAUGGCCGGAAAGCCGAUAUCAGAUAUCUUUUCGUUCAGCUGAAGUGGGACAUGAGAAAUCCAACUCUGUCCUUCUUCAUUGGUUUGUGAUCUUUUCUCUCCAAACACCAAGUUGACACUUUUUUCCCUUCCCUUCACAAUGUCGGCUUGUUUGCACAAAUUCAAACAACAGCAAAUGAGCAUGUUUUUUUACCAAUGAUUAAACCUCCUCAUGAAGUAAAUGUGAACUAAUGAAACUGCCUCGUCUGUUCCUGUCAGAUACACCUGGGGAAUCCCCAUCUGCUGAGCUUCCUGAUCAAGGAGCGCCGGUCUCGCUCAGGAGACAGGUGAACUGUUGGAAAGUCGUCCUGCUGAGAGACCUUCUGUCGGCACUGACAGGAUCAGGAAAAAGCACGUUCCUGCAUUUGUCGUAAUGACAGGCUUCAAAUCUAUCAUGCAGAUUGACAUUUUGUACACAUUGUCCCACCUGUAGUAGAAAUGAACUGGAAUUUUUCUUGACAGUGCUUAAGAAGACAUUUUUUCAUACUGAGACUGUUGGAUGAACUUUUAAAGAUUAUUUAAUGGGACAUGCAAAACAUUCAACGUUGGACCAAAACACAUUUUUUGGGUUUGCCUUGUACCUUUGAACUUGCAGAGUGGUAGAGGGGAAUCAUUUCGAGUAGUCACAUUAAAUAUUUGGCUAUGUGGGUUCAAUUAAACAAAAUUUAUAUUGUUCAAUAAAUAAUUCCAGUUCGAUGUUCUGCUGUGAGUCUCCAGAUGAAAUUGGUUUUGCCUUUGAAAGUGGAAAAUGUCCAAAAACGGUGCCAAGAGGUGUAGGCUGGAUUAUCUGAAGUUUAAGUCAUGAGCUUUUAGUGUUGGGUGGUAUGACGGUAUAUACUGUGUGACAGUAUAAAAGUGUCUACUGAUAGAAAUUUUGCGAUACCAUUUAUACCGGAGAAAGAAAGCAGAUGUCUGCUGCAUCUCUCUGAGUCAGUGUGUGGUAGUCUACGCUCGCUAACAGGAAAGCCAGAGCGCAUCUGUUUGGGUGCAUUUCCGUAUAUUCACCAGCAUGUCGUGUGGAGUUUGUUCACUCCAUUUGAUUGGUCAGGUUUGGGUGCACUCCCUAUAACCAC